Non-coding RNA from Notechis scutatus (mainland tiger snake), 260 nucleotides. Lineage: Eukaryota; Metazoa; Chordata; Lepidosauria; Squamata; Elapidae. The record is from RefSeq and is a predicted model, not a curated record.
UCUCUUCUAGAGCACCACCAAAAGUGACAGGAACACAGAAGGCAGAGGCCACCGGGAGAAGUUGGAGCUGGUGGCCUCCUUCUCCUUCUUCGGGAACGUCAUGUCCAUGGCCAGUGUGCAGCUCGCAGGGGCCAAAAGGGACGCUCUCCUGCUCAGCUUCAAGGAUGCCAAGCUCUCGGUGGUUGAGUACGAUCCUGGCACCCACGAUCUGAAAACGCUUUCCCUUCAUUACUUUGAAGAGCCGGAACUGAAGGUAGGAG